UACGUAGGUGGCGAGCGUUGUCCGGAAUUACUGGGUGUAAAGGGCGUGUAGGCGGGAAUGCAAGUCAGAUGUGAAAUACCGAGGCUUAACUUCGGGGCUGCAUCUGAAACUGUGUUUCUUGAGUGUCGGAGAGGAAAGUGGAAUUCCCAGUGUAGCGGUGAAAUGCGUAGAUAUUGGGAGGAACACCAGUGGCGAAGGCGACUUUCUGGACGAUAACUGACGCUGAGGCGCGAAAGCGUGGGGAGCAAAC
Molecule: ribosomal RNA, 250 nt
Filed under: uncultured bacterium
Lineage: Bacteria
Description: partial 16S ribosomal RNA
Rfam family: Bacterial small subunit ribosomal RNA
Source: RNAcentral